Molecule: ribosomal RNA, 492 nt
Filed under: uncultured bacterium
Lineage: Bacteria
Description: partial 16S ribosomal RNA
Rfam family: Bacterial small subunit ribosomal RNA
Source: RNAcentral
AGUGAACGCUGGCGGUAGGCCUAACACAUGCAAGUCGAACGGCAGCACAGUAAGAGCUUGCUCUUACGGGUGGCGAGUGGCGGACGGGUGAGGAAUACAUCGGAAUCUACUUUUUCGUGGGGGAUAACGUAGGGAAACUUACGCUACUACCGCAUACGACCUACGGGUGAAAGCAGGGGAUCUUCGGACCUUGCGCGAUUGAAUGAGCCGAUGUCGGAUUAGCUAGUUGGCGGGGUAAAGGCCCACCAAGGCGACGAUCCGUAGCUGGUCUGAGAGGAUGAUCAGCCACACUGGAACUGAGACACGGUCCAGACUCCUACGGGAGGCAGCAGUGGGGAAUAUUGCACAAUGGGCGCAAGCCUGAUCCAGCCAUACCGCGUGGGUGAAGAAGGCCUUCGGGUUGUAAAGCCCUGUUGUUGGGAAAGAAAAGCAGCAGGUUAAUACCCCGCUGUUCUGACGGUACCCAAAGAAUAAGCACCGGCUAACUUCGUG